This 484-nucleotide ribosomal RNA is filed under the name uncultured bacterium. RNAcentral describes it as "partial 16S ribosomal RNA". It matches the Rfam family "Bacterial small subunit ribosomal RNA", at positions 29 to 507 of the family's 1533-position model. The record is from RNAcentral.
AUUGAACGCUGGCGGCAUGCUUUACACAUGCAAGUCGAACGGCAGCGCGGGCUUCGGCCUGGCGGCGAGUGGCGAACGGGUGAGUAAUACAUCGGAACGUGCCCAGUAGUGGGGGAUAGCUCGGCGAAAGCCGGAUUAAUACCGCAUACGACCUGAGGGUGAAAGCGGGGGAUCUUCGGACCUCGCGCUAUUGGGGCGGCCGAUGGCAGAUUAGCUAGUUGGUGGGGUAAAGGCCUACCAAGGCGACGAUCUGUAGCUGGUCUGAGAGGACGACCAGCCACACUGGGACUGAGACACGGCCCAGACUCCUACGGGAGGCAGCAGUGGGGAAUUUUGGACAAUGGGCGAAAGCCUGAUCCAGCAAUGCCGCGUGCGUGAUGAAGGCCUUCGGGUUGUAAAGCACUUUUGGCGGGAACGAAAAGGACUGUGCCAAUACCACGGUUCGAUGACGGUACCCGCAGAAUAAGCACCGGCUAACUACGUG